Molecule: ribosomal RNA, 468 nt
Filed under: uncultured bacterium
Lineage: Bacteria
Description: partial 16S ribosomal RNA
Rfam family: Bacterial small subunit ribosomal RNA
Source: RNAcentral
GACGAACGCUGGCGGCGUGCUUAAUACAUGCAAGUCGAACGGACAGGCCCUGCUCUUGUGGGGUGCUCGAGUGGCGAACGGGUGAGUAACACGCGAGUAAACUGCCCUUGACUUUGGGAUAACUUCAGGAAACUGGGGCUAAUACCGGAUAGGAGCUCCUGCUGCAUGGUGGGGGUUGGAAAGUUUCGGCGGUUGGGGAUGGACUCGCGGCUUAUCAGCUUGUUGGUGGGGUAGUGGCUUACCAAGGCUUUGACGGGUAGCCGGCCUGAGAGGGUGACCGGCCACAUUGGGACUGAGAUACGGCCCAGACUCCUACGGGAGGCAGCAGUGGGGAAUAUUGCACAAUGGGCGGAAGCCUGAUGCAGCAACGCCGCGUGCGGGAUGACGGCCUUCGGGUUGUAAACCGCUUUCGCCUGUGACGAAGCGUGAGUGACGGUAAUGGGUAAAGAAGCACCGGCUAACUACGUG